Molecule: ribosomal RNA, 443 nt
Filed under: uncultured bacterium
Lineage: Bacteria
Description: partial 16S ribosomal RNA
Rfam family: Bacterial small subunit ribosomal RNA
Source: RNAcentral
CCUACGGGAGGCAGCAGUGGGGAAUAUUGGGCAAUGGGCGCAAGCCUGACCCAGCAACGCCGCGUGAAGGAAGAAGGCUUUCGGGUUGUAAACUUCUUUUCUGAGGGACGAAGAAAGUGCCGGUACCUCAGGAAUAAGCCACGGCGAACUACGUGCCCGCAGCCGCGGAAACACGUAGGUGGCAAGCGUUAUCCGGAUGUAUUGGGUGUAAAGGGCGUGUAGGCGGGAAAGCAAGUCAGAUGUGAAAACUCAGGGCUCAACCCUGAGCCUGCAUUUGAAACUGGUUUUCUUGAGUGCUGGAGAGGCAAGCGGAAUGCCGGGUGUAGCGGUGAAAUGCGUAGAUAUACGGAGGAACACCAGUGGCGAAGGCGGAUUGCUGGACAGUAACUGACGCUGAGGCGCGAAAGCGUGGGGAGCAAACAGGAUUAGAUACCCGAGUAGUC